GAGGAUAUAGCUCAAUGGUAGCUAGCGUGCUUAGCAUGCAUGAGGUCCUGGGUUCAAUCCCCAGUACCUCCA
RNAcentral lists this transfer RNA (72 nucleotides) under Camelus bactrianus (Bactrian camel). It matches the Rfam family "tRNA". Rfam says of the family: Transfer RNA (tRNA) molecules are approximately 80 nucleotides in length. Their secondary structure includes four short double-helical elements and three loops (D, anti-codon, and T loops). Further hydrogen bonds mediate the characteristic L-shaped molecular structure. tRNAs have two regions of fundamental functional importance: the anti-codon, which is responsible for specific mRNA codon recognition, and the 3' end, to which the tRNAs corresponding amino acid is attached (by aminoacyl-tRNA synthetases). tRNAs cope with the degeneracy of the genetic code in two manners: having more than one tRNA (with a specific anti-codon) for a particular amino acid; and 'wobble' base-pairing, i.e. permitting non-standard base-pairing at the 3rd anti-codon position. The record is from Rfam by way of RNAcentral. Lineage: Eukaryota; Metazoa; Chordata; Mammalia; Artiodactyla; Camelidae. RNAcentral also lists the same sequence under 2 other names.